UGGAAAAUCAAACAUACAAUAAGGCAUAAAUAAAUAAAUUAGCAAUCAAAAUAAAACCUGGAUUACGAAAUGAGAACUGGAACUGAAUCUUGAUUCUUCAAUUAAAAUAAUGUCGGCAGGCUUUGGCAAAGAGUAACCGUUACAAUUGAAUUCAAAUGCGUAAAAUAAAUUGCAAUAGUCCCCGAUGUGGAGAACUAUUACUUUUACAAAGUAAGAAAAACUGCUUAGGAAACUAACCAAAAAAUAAUCUGACUAAAAUUAAGCGUGUAAUUGAAAAGGGAACUGAC
RNAcentral lists this long non-coding RNA (287 nucleotides) under Lathyrus oleraceus (garden pea). RNAcentral describes it as "Pisum sativum (pea) long non-coding RNA (PSAT_LNC039871)". The record is from RNAcentral. Lineage: Eukaryota; Viridiplantae; Streptophyta; Magnoliopsida; Fabales; Fabaceae.